CCUUCCUCAACUCACAUUAAUCCGGAAUGUCCUGAGAGCUUCCACAUGCGUACAGCACCUCAAAAGGAAACUCCCAGUACCAACCACAACAGCAGCACCCACCACACCCGCUGCCACCACCCACAGCAGCCAGCUCACCAGCAAGGACAUCUCCCGGCACAGCCCGCAUCCAGGAACAAGCAAGGAGAGCACACUGAAUUCAUGCUGUGAUACAGUCCUGUGGGUUAACCUGUCUUGCGCCUGCCUC
Long non-coding RNA from Numida meleagris (helmeted guineafowl), 247 nucleotides. RefSeq lists it as uncharacterized. The transcript has 3 exons. The record is from RefSeq and is a predicted model, not a curated record. NCBI's taxonomy places the organism in Eukaryota, Metazoa, Chordata, Aves, Galliformes, Numididae.